RNAcentral lists this non-coding RNA (30 nucleotides) under unclassified sequences. Its description in RNAcentral is "L31-Firmicutes ribosomal protein leader". It matches the Rfam family "L31-Firmicutes ribosomal protein leader". The record is from RNAcentral.
CUAUGACUUAAAGAGUCAUGGCGGAAGGAG